Molecule: transfer RNA, 61 nt
Filed under: Tyrannodoris europaea
Lineage: Eukaryota; Metazoa; Mollusca; Gastropoda; Nudibranchia; Polyceridae
Description: Roboastra europaea tRNA-Gln
Source: RNAcentral
AUCUUUUUGGUGUAAUGCACGGGAGUUUUUGAUUCUCCAGGAGGGUUAGACCCAGAAGAUU